RNAcentral lists this ribosomal RNA (460 nucleotides) under uncultured bacterium. RNAcentral describes it as "partial 16S ribosomal RNA". It matches the Rfam family "Bacterial small subunit ribosomal RNA", at positions 338 to 795 of the family's 1533-position model. The record is from RNAcentral.
CCUACGGGUGGCAGCAGUGAGGAAUAUUGGUCAAUGGACGAGAGUCUGAACCAGCCAAGUAGCGUGAAGGAUGACUGCCCUAUGGGUUGUAAACUUCUUUUAUAUGGGAAUAAAAUGUUCCACGUGUGGGAUUUUGUAUGUACUAUAUGAAUAAGGAUCGGCUAACUCCGUGCCAGCAGCCGCGGUAAUACGGAGGAUCCGAGCGUUAUCCGGAUUUAUUGGGUUUAAAGGGAGCGUAGGUGGAUUGUUAAGGCAGUUGUGAAAGUUUGCGGCUCAACCGUAAAAUUGCAGUUGAAACUGGCAGUCUUGAGUACAGUAGAGGUGGGCGGAAUUCGUGGUGUAGUGGUGAAAUGCUUAGAUAUCACGAAGAACUCCGAUUGCGAAGGCAGUUCACUGGACUGCAACUGACACUGAGGCUCGAAAGUGUGGGUAUCAAACAGGAUUAGAUACCCCAGUAGUC